GACGAACGCUGGCGGCGUGCCUAAUACAUGCAAGUCGAGCGGACGGACGCGCAGUUGGCUGCUCUUAUGUUGGCGGACGACGGGUGAGUAACACGUGGAUCACCUACCUAUAAGACUGGGAUAACUUCGGAAAGCCGGUGCUAAUCCCGAAUAAUUUUUUCUACCUCGUGGUGCAAAGGAAGAAGCCGGUCUUGCUGUUACACAUAGGUCGUUCCGCGCUGUUUUAGCUAGUUGGUAAGGUAACGGCUUACCAAGGGACCGAUGCAUAGCCGACGUGAGAGGGGGAUCGGCCACACUGGAACUGAGACACGGUCCUGACUCCUACGGGAGGCAGCAGUAUGGAAUCUUCCGCAAUGGUCGAAAGCCUGACGGAGCAACGCCGCGUGAGUGAUGAAGGUCUUCGGUUCGUAAAACUCUGUUAUUAGUGAAGAACAUAUGUGUAAGUAACUGUGCACAGCGUGACGGUACCUAAUCAGAAAGCCACGGCUAACUACGUG
This 497-nucleotide ribosomal RNA is filed under the name uncultured bacterium. RNAcentral describes it as "partial 16S ribosomal RNA". It matches the Rfam family "Bacterial small subunit ribosomal RNA", at positions 28 to 507 of the family's 1533-position model. The record is from RNAcentral.